AGAGUUUGAUCCUGGCUCAGAACGAACGCUGGCGGCGUGCCUAACACAUGCAAGUCGCACGCAGUUAAGGGGGCAACUCCUUGAUUGAGUGGCGCACGGGUGAGUAACACGUAGGUAACCUGCCCUUCACUGGGGAAUAACCUGUCGAAAGACGGGCUAAUUCCGCAUACGUCCAAGACUGCUCCGGCAGAUUUGGGGAAAGGCGGCCCGCAAGGGCUGUCGGUGAUGGAUGGGCCUGCGUACCAUUAGCUAGUUGGUAGGGUAAUGGCCUACCAAGGCUACGAUGGUUAGCUGGUCUGAGAGGAUGAUCAGCCACACUGGAACUGACACACGGUCCAGACUCCUACGGGAGGCAGCAGUGGGGAAUAUUGCGCAAUGGGCGAAAGCCUGACGCAGCAACGCCGCGUGAGGGAUGAAGGUUCUCGGAUUGUAAACCUCUGUCGGGGGGGACAAAACCUAUGCUGGCUAAUAUCCAGCAUAAUUGAUGGUACCCCCAAAGGAAGCACCGGCUAACUCCGUGCCAGCAGCCGCGGUAAUACGGAGGGUGCAAGCGUUGUUCGGAAUUAUUGGGCGUAAAGCGCACGUAGGUGGCUUUAGAAGUCCGGUGUGAAAUCCCUCGGCUUAACCGAGGAAGUGCGCCGGAAACCAUAAAGCUAGAGUAUCGGAGGGGAGAGUAGAAUUCCCAGUGUAGAGGUGAAAUUCGUAGAUAUUGGGAGGAAUACCGGUGGCGAAAGCGACUCUCUGGACGAUUACUGACACUAAAGUGCGAAAGCGUGGGUAGCAAACAGGAUUAGAUACCCUGGUAGUCCACGCCGUAACGAUGGGUACUAGUGUCACGGGAUUUGACCCCUGUGGUGCCGUCGCUAACGCAUUAAGUACCCCGCCUGGGAAGUACGGCCGCAAGGUUGAAACUCAAAGGAAUUGACGGGGGCCCGCACAAGCGGNGGAGCAUGUGGUUCAAUUCGACGCAACGCGAGGACNUACUNGCUUGACAUGUAGAGAUCCUGAUGAAGUNGGGAGUGCCCGCAGGAGCUCCUAAC
This 1040-nucleotide ribosomal RNA is filed under the name uncultured bacterium. RNAcentral's name for it is "bacterial SSU rRNA". It matches the Rfam family "Bacterial small subunit ribosomal RNA", at positions 8 to 1033 of the family's 1533-position model. The record is from RNAcentral.